RNAcentral lists this transfer RNA (19 nucleotides) under Aletris pauciflora var. pauciflora. Its description in RNAcentral is "partial tRNA-Leu". The record is from RNAcentral. Lineage: Eukaryota; Viridiplantae; Streptophyta; Magnoliopsida; Dioscoreales; Nartheciaceae.
GCAAGUCCCUCUAUCCCCA